AGGAGCUGAUACUGUUAUCAUACAUGACAUGGAUUUUAAUCCACAGAUAGAUCGGCAAGCUGAAGAUCGCUGCCACCGGAUAGGCCAAAACAAACCAGUUACAGUAUACAGGCUGGUUACUAGGAAUACUGUUGAUGAGAAUGUAUAUGAGAUUGCAAAGCGAAAACUUACAUUGGAUGCAGCUAUACUCGAGUCUGGUGCCCAAAUUGAGAAUGAAGGUGAUGCAAAAACUAUGGGUGAGAUAUUAUCGUCUCUUCUGCUUGGUUAGGCGCACCAUGUUCUGACAUGAUUCAUAUCAAUAUCAUUUUGAUCUACUGGUUUUCUUUUUCCUCUGUUUUUGCG
This 342-nucleotide unclassified non-coding RNA is filed under the name Hevea brasiliensis (rubber tree). The record is from RNAcentral. Lineage: Eukaryota; Viridiplantae; Streptophyta; Magnoliopsida; Malpighiales; Euphorbiaceae.